This 465-nucleotide ribosomal RNA is filed under the name uncultured Klebsiella sp. Its description in RNAcentral is "bacterial SSU rRNA". It matches the Rfam family "Bacterial small subunit ribosomal RNA", at positions 338 to 795 of the family's 1533-position model. The record is from RNAcentral. Lineage: Bacteria; Pseudomonadati; Pseudomonadota; Gammaproteobacteria; Enterobacterales; Enterobacteriaceae.
CCUACGGGUGGCAGCAGUGGGGAAUAUUGCACAAUGGGCGCAAGCCUGAUGCAGCCAUGCCGCGUGUGUGAAGAAGGCCUUCGGGUUGUAAAGCACUUUCAGCGGGGAGGAAGGCGGUGAGGUUAAUAACCUCAUCGAUUGACGUUACCCGCAGAAGAAGCACCGGCUAACUCCGUGCCAGCAGCCGCGGUAAUACGGAGGGUGCAAGCGUUAAUCGGAAUUACUGGGCGUAAAGCGCACGCAGGCGGUCUGUCAAGUCGGAUGUGAAGUCCCCGGGCUCAACCUGGGAACUGCAUUCGAAACUGGCAGGCUAGAGUCUUGUAGAGGGGGGUAGAAUUCCAGGUGUAGCGGUGAAAUGCGUAGAGAUCUGGAGGAAUACCGGUGGCGAAGGCGGCCCCCUGGACAAAGACUGACGCUCAGGCGCGAAAGCGUGGGGAGCAAACAGGAUUAGAUACCCGAGUAGUC